GUCUGCCUCGCAGCCCGUCGAACAAAAACAAAGGGUUUUCAAUAUCGAUCAUGGCUUUUGUUCGGCGCAAAGGAACAAAAUGCAUGAACAAUACUCAAAUAUAACUGUAAUGUGAGAGUAAGAAAUGGGGGUGUAUAAAGGGAAUAUCCGUACAUUAAUCUCAUUGUGGCUAACAGUUCUCAUUCUGACAAUAUUUGGGUUAUGUGCUCUUCACCAGCUCCUGCAUGCGAAAAGUACCGAUUUUUAUGCAUUGGAGUCUUCCACUUAUCUUCCUCUAUCAGAAGAAGAAAUCGUAUUUCUCAGGAAGCCAAAAUGGACACAUUUCAAAGUCUGGUUGAAAAAGUUAAAUUUCAAGCAGAUCUCUAAAAAGCGUCAGCUGCUUAAAAACUUAACACAACUGAAUUAUUGAUCGUGAUAUUUAAACCAUAAUUAACAAAAAUAAAAAAUCCCUGAAAUUAUUCCGAAAAGUCGACUACAAAUGAUGAUUAUACAUUACUCAAUAAAACAAAACUGUUUAAUAAAUUAGUGGAAUGUGACUGUUAAGAAAAGCAACGGGAAGUUUGGAUGAAUUCGAUGCACGGAUCCCAUGUCAAUAGAGGUGAGGGACAUCAAGACAUGCAUGAAAGAUCAACUGUUGAACUUGCCUUGAAGAUGCAUAUUCUUCACGUUCAAUCUAGACAUUGAUGCUAAUUUUCGCUUAUUUUAGAUCAUUCUGAAUUUAAGCUCUUUUGUAUGAAAUGUAAGUUACCGAAUUAGUGUGGACAUAUUGAUCUAUCCAAAUUAACAAGUGGUACUAGUUUAAAAAAUUAAUGUCUGACUCUCUGGGCAAUAAUAAAUUAUGUCAAGCAAUGAAUUCAGCAGGAGUAGUAUAUACAUGUAGGUUGCAUAUAUUAUUUAUUUUUAUUAAAAUUUAUAAAGCACACACUUUUACAAACAUUAAUCAAUGGCGAUGUGCAUGCAAAUUAAAUUAAAUUAUACGCAAGUUUAAAACAUUAAAAUUGAUUAAUUAUUCUAUAAUUAGCCAUGAUUAGUUAAUGAACACUAAGUUAUAAAGGUUAAAAUCAUUGAGGUCAUAUCCGCAAAAUCUUUGCUAUGAGAGUAACUUCUAAGACCUGGAACCAAACUUUAAUGCAAUAGGAUUCGUAUUGGAUUCCUUGAAAGUGACUGGUGGAAAUUCCAAAGAACAGUCUGUAUAAAAUAAACGAACCAUUCACACAAACAAAGUGAACAGAUUAAGAUCCCUAACAGACUAUCAACAAGUGAGGAAAAUAAAAGCACCAGAAACUCCGUCACCGAUUUGCAAGCAAGGUCCAUGAUAGACAAUCUUGUGUUUUCAGGGACCUAAGAGCACAGAGUAAGUUUUGCAUGAUUUUUUAAAGAAGUUGAACUUAAAUUGCGAGAUCCCAUUCGAGCGGGUUAACAAGAUGGAAAAGUUCAGCGAAUUCAGUAUUCACCCAAGGAAUAUCGUGGCCAAUUUAACUUACUUUAAAGACUGUGAGUCUAUUAGAACAAGAGCACCGCGAGAACGUGAAGGGUGUAGGAUAUGGGUUAAUGAAAAUUUUCCUUUAGAGAUUGAGGAGAGAAGGAAACAACUUUAUCCUGUCUUGAGGUAGGCAAAGAAAAGAAAAACAACAACAUGUCAGAUUAGUCCGUGAUACCCUUUACAUCAGUGGUUAAGUGUAUGGACCACCAGUUACCCGAUAUCCGUAAACUUCAGGAGCGCAAAAGAUCGCACCGUAUCGGUAAAACACCGAAAAGCACCACCGCUAGGGAAACGCGGAAGAACAGGACACUUGCAUCUGUAAGAUUUCGUUGAGGUUAAUGUCAGAGUAUCUGACCAUUCCAUAUAAGUAAAGGAGUCGAGACCCCAAAGGGGCCGAGAUCCAUUGCUUUUAAUGAGGAUAUUGGCCUGAUUAAUAUUCAAUUCAAUGGAAAUUUAACUAUAAUUUAAUCAAUUCUAUUUUUAUAAUACUAUAUACAUUGUAUAUAUAUAUAUAUAUAGUAACGAAACCGAGGGUAUGGGGUAGUUACAAAAUCAUGGGCCGCUGUUUAUUUUCUAUUGAAUUGUCAAGGUAGAAAUGGUUACGUUUGUUGACCGCAAUUUAUAUGACGAGCGAUGACAAUUGAUGGUCCACUUUUAAAUAAUGCCUUCACUUGAUAGUUAUAUAUAUAUAUAUAUAUAUAUAUAUAUAUAUAUAUAUAUAUAUAUAUAUAUAUACAAGAAUAAUAUUCUAUAUAAAGUUUAUAACAUU
Long non-coding RNA from Ostrea edulis (European flat oyster), 2252 nucleotides. RefSeq lists it as uncharacterized. NCBI's taxonomy places the organism in Eukaryota, Metazoa, Mollusca, Bivalvia, Ostreida, Ostreidae. The transcript has 2 exons. The record is from RefSeq and is a predicted model, not a curated record.